This 468-nucleotide ribosomal RNA is filed under the name uncultured bacterium. Its description in RNAcentral is "partial 16S ribosomal RNA". It matches the Rfam family "Bacterial small subunit ribosomal RNA", at positions 28 to 507 of the family's 1533-position model. The record is from RNAcentral.
GACGAACGCUGGCGGCGUGCUUAACAAAUGCAAGUCGAACGGAAAGGUACUGCUUUUGUGGGGUGCUCGAGUGGCGAACGGGUGAGUAACAAGUGGGUAACCUGCCUUUGACUUUGGGAUAACUUCAGGAAACUGGGGCUAAUACCGGAUAGGAGCUCCUGCUGCAUGGUGGGGGUUGGAAAGUUUCGGCGGUUGGGGAUGGACUCGCGGCUUAUCAGCUUGUUGGUGGGGUAGUGGCUUACCAAGGCUUUGACGGGUAGCCGGCCUGAGAGGGUGACCGGCCACAUUGGGACUGAGAUACGGCCCAGACUCCUACGGGAGGCAGCAGUGGGGAAUAUUGCACAAUGGGCGGAAGCCUGAUGCAGCAACGCCGCGUGCGGGAUGACGGCCUUCGGGUUGUAAACCGCUUUCGCCUGUGACGAAGCGUGAGUGACGGUAAUGGGUAAAGAAGCACCGGCUAACUACGUG